RNAcentral lists this ribosomal RNA (795 nucleotides) under uncultured bacterium. RNAcentral's name for it is "bacterial SSU rRNA". It matches the Rfam family "Bacterial small subunit ribosomal RNA", at positions 8 to 796 of the family's 1533-position model. The record is from RNAcentral.
AGAGUUUGAUCCUGGCUCAGGACGAACGCUGGCGGCGUGCCUAACACAUGCAAGUCGAACGGAGAGUUUCGAAGAGUUUACUUGGAGAAAUUUUUAGUGGCGGACGGGUGAGUAACGCGUGGGUAACCUACCCAUAAACCCGGGACAACCCUUGGAAACGAGGGCUAAUACCGGAUAAUCUUUGAGAGUGGCAUCACUCUUUAAGAAAAGGUGGCCUCUGUAUAUGCUACCGAUUAUGGAUGGACCCGCGUCUGAUUAGCUAGUUGGUGGGGUAAAGGCCUACCAAGGCGACGAUCAGUAGCCGGCCUGAGAGGGUGAACGGCCACACUGGGACUGAGACACGGUCCAGACUCCUACGGGAGGCAGCAGUGGGGAAUAUUGCACAAUGGGCGCAAGCCUGAUGCAGCAACGCCGCGUGAGUGAUGAAGGCCUUCGGGUCGUAAAACUCUGUCCUAUGGGAAGAAAAAAAUGACGGUACCAUAGGAGGAAGCCCCGGCUAACUAUGUGCCAGCAGCCGCGGUAAUACGUAGGGGGCAAGCGUUAUCCGGAAUCACUGGGCGUAAAGGGUGCGUAGGUGGCUCAUCAAGCCAGAGGUGAAAGGCAUUGGCUCAACCAAUGUAAGCCUUUGGAACUGACGAGCUUGAGUGCAGGAGAGGUAAGUGGAAUUCCUAGUGUAGAGGUGAAAUUCGUAGAUAUUAGGAGGAACACCAGUGGCGAAGGCGACUUACUGGACUGUAACUGACACUGAGGCACGAAAGCGUGGGGAGCGAACAGGAUUAGAUACCCUGGUAGUCC